RNAcentral lists this ribosomal RNA (633 nucleotides) under Triticum aestivum (bread wheat). RNAcentral's name for it is "partial small subunit ribosomal RNA". Lineage: Eukaryota; Viridiplantae; Streptophyta; Magnoliopsida; Poales; Poaceae. The record is from RNAcentral.
AUGGAGCAAGAGUUCUUUUGGGCAUCCUUUGCAUUUUCCAUAUCAGGUUCCAUUCUUCAUAGUAUGUGUAUCUGCAAAGACAAGGACCAAGCUGACUGCUGGUAUCUAGGCCUAACAGCCUUGGUAUCUGCUCUAUAUAGUCCUCUUCUUUUGGUUGAUUCAACAAGCAGCCGUCGGAUAUACAGUUGCGCAAAUAGCCCUCCUGGCUAUAUUCAGCAAAGGAAUAGGCUAUUUUCAGUGCAUGACACAAGAAAGUUCACCCAGGAAAUACCAAAGGAAGUAGCUUGUCGUUUGAAUACCCCAAGCACGGACUGGUGGGACUAUAGUUUGGCAAGCAGCGCUUCUGAGUAUGACGAACAAUCACAUGACGUCUGCAUCUUGUUCAAGCAUGGAUGCAAGAUAUCUCCUGAAACAGGACUUGAGGUGCAAGGAUCUGUGAUAGGUGUAUUAAACCAUCUGUUGUGUUCUGCGUUCCGCGCCAUUGCCGGUGGUCAUUAUGCAUUUCCUAUGAACGUAUGCUCGGUGUUAUUUGUUUCUUGUUGUCCUCUCAUCGUGUAUAUUGGUGCAAUAUCUCCUAUUCUCUCUCGGAGAGAUGAGAUAAGGAUUACAGGGCUACCAACAGCCCACCUAUAA